GCAUUCCAUUGAAUUUGUAAAGGGGCACUGGCAUUUACUGUUGCAACAGCAGUGCUCAUAACAAUUUCAGGUGGACUAUAUUCAUUCUGAAAUAGAUCAUUGAUGUUAAAUGAGGUGGUUAAUUGUCUCCAAUCACUGGAUAAUUCACAAGGCGACCAGAUGCGGUCAUAAACAUCAUCUUUGUACCUGUUGUUUGUACAUGGCCAAAAAAAUUGUCAGUACUUGACUUUCUUGUUAUUUAUUUAUAUAAAUAUUGAAGUUAGCUAAUUAAUAUGCUGACUACAUCUUACCUGUAUUCUCUGUUUGUGAUGGAACCUAAAUCACAUCGCUUGAAAAGUGAUAAUACUAAAUCAGGUGAGUAUGUGACAUAAUUAGAAUUUGUCAAAGUCCUCAAUUCUAAAACUGAAAUGAAUGGAGUCCCUUUGCCUAUGUUAACAAGACAUGGUUGUAUGUGAUCUUGUGAUGGAGUGUAUAUGAUCUCCUUGAGUGUGAUGCCUGAUACAUUAGUGAACUUUACUGUUUCCCAAACAUUAGCUCCAAAAUGUAGAUCAAAUUCUGGUGGUUGAUUUAGAUUAUCAUAGUUUCCAUAAUAAAAAGAAGCUCUGAUUAAAUAUUUAGUACCACUUGUUACAUUUAUUCUGUAACAGUUUCUAACUCCACUAGGAAAACUCCUCACAUGUUGUAGUUCCUGUGGAAUAAUAGGUGGCGGUGCUAUCCUCUUAUUUACACCAGUAUGUAUGAAUUUGGCAUCUGAAAUAUAAUUUACGCCUGUCCGCAACCCAGAAUAUUUCACAUCUUCAUGUUGACCACAAUCUAAGCUAAUGAAUCCUGAUACAUAUAAAUUGAGGAACAAAUUAAGAUAACUUCAUCUACAAAAAUAAUUACUAGUAACAACUAUGUGACAUAAAGCAGGUAUAGACAAAUUCAUAAACAAACCUGAUUUGUUUUUGAAGAUCCUCAUAAACAAAUCUGAUUGAUCCUGAGGUUGUAUCGAAGCCAAAAUAGUAAGGACACCAAGCAAUAUAGUAAGAAAAUGGGGUAACAUUAUCAUCAUCCUUGUAUAAAUGAUAAUGCAAGGAAGCAUUUAUACACAAUGCUGUUAGUUAUUUACGUCAGAUUCCUUUCCUUGGAGUUUAUCUUAUUAGAGACACACACCCGUCGUUCGGAAAAACUGAAUUCGAUUUCUGGAAGAAACAAUUAUUAAUCAAACUUUACUUAUCUCCCGACUACACUUGAGUUACUCGGGUACAUUUCCUCCAUAGACCGGAGGAUUAACAAACCAAAUAUCAAAAACUAAAUCCCAUUAAUGGGGCGUUUGUUUCAAGUAUAUAAGGAUAAAAAUGAGUGUUUUAUUCCUAUCUACUUAAAAAUAAUGUUUGAAUAUUUUGGGAAACUUUAUAAAAGUAAAGUCAUUGGAUAGACUCUUUAUAAUUAAAAACAAAUUAAUCACAAAAUUAUAUUAGGAAAUGUCUCUCAAUAUAACAUGUCUACAAUGUUUCCGGGGUUGGAUGAGACACACACUAAAUAUUAAAUAUUCUACAAUGUUUGGUUUCAUUAGAGGCUAUUUGAUUCAGAGACUCUACAAUUGAUUUAGUUUGAAGCUCGUAUUAGAUGUCUCUGAGCAAAAUCGAAUAUAUUCCACAUCUUUUUGUUGGACAAUAAUUUAAUACUAUUUGCUUGUUUGUCUAUUUUAUUAUUACAUAUGUCUGAACGGUGACCCAUACUUACGUUUUUUAGAC
RNAcentral lists this long non-coding RNA (1739 nucleotides) under Medicago truncatula (barrel medic). RNAcentral describes it as "lncRNA gene45198". The record is from RNAcentral. Lineage: Eukaryota; Viridiplantae; Streptophyta; Magnoliopsida; Fabales; Fabaceae.